RNAcentral lists this long non-coding RNA (1783 nucleotides) under Oreochromis niloticus (Nile tilapia). Its description in RNAcentral is "lncRNA (ENSONIG00000041103.1)". Lineage: Eukaryota; Metazoa; Chordata; Actinopteri; Cichliformes; Cichlidae. The record is from RNAcentral.
UUUUAUUUUGAAAACCUCCUGCCGGCAGCUCUCCUUGUAGAUGCAGUGGACUUGAAGUGAAGGCGUUUACAGAGGGCGGCGGAUUUAUGCGUGUGAGUGACAGUCUGUGCGCGUGCUUGUGAGUGUGAGAGUGUGUGUCUGCGGGAUAUUACCCGAGUUUGCGUUUGGUAGUGCUCUCACAGCCCUUUAGAAACAAGCUCUUCCACCCGGGACAGCGUCGGAUCAAGUGGCAUUGAGAGGUGUGGAUGGUGGAGGAAGAAAACUGAACUCUUAAGUGUUCAUCUUAGAGGUUUUCCAACCGGGAAUGUGAUGCAGCCAUUAGGCACUUCUCUCCUCGCAGACACGUUGGGAUGCCUCUCCACACAGGGGUUCAUUCUAAGUGCAAACAUGUCCUAUCUGGAAGUGUUUAUCUAAUAAUGACCCCGUGACUGGCUGCACAUGUGAGCUUGUCCAGACUGAAACAACGUCCACCUUGAAUGUGAACAUCUGGGGAAUGAUGAGUGGUGAGGUGUGUCUCUGCUAUUAUGAUAUUAAGCACAAACUUCUUCACUCUCAGUGAUGCUAAACUUCAAUAACGUAAAGUGUCUUUCUCACAGUGUUUAACACCUUUACCUACCGAUACAUCCAUGCAUUUUAACAACCAACUGCUUACAUACCAAAUGACACUGUUUGUAGUACAUAUUUAAAGUAUCUUGGGUAAUGCAGCUUCACCUGAAAUGUUGCUUUCAUAACUUGAACAGUUAAGCUGCUUUUCUUUUCAUACUAGUUACAUUUCAUUUGUUUUCAUGGCUUAAGCUAUGAAUUGAUUAGCUGACAAUUCAGUUGUUUUCAGUUUUUAUUGCUUAGCUUUUAAUUGAAUGCAAACUAGCAGUGCAAACUUAAAUUUGAAACAUCUCACCAGAAGCUCAGUGACAACUCAAAUUAUUUUAAUCCUUGCCCUUAAUUUACAGUAUUUUUUUUUUCUUUAGUUACUAUCAUCCCGAGUGUCUGUAUUGGGCUGUCACAAUCUCUGGCCAUAACAAAAGCUUUGCACUCACACUGAAUGCAUGCUUAGUUUAGCAUAAACCCAUCAUCCCUAAGCUUUGACCAUCAGAACAAAUUCUUACUUGUCUCCUUUAAUAGAUGAAUUUUGGUACUGUCGUGGGUUCCUCAAAAAGCUCUCGUUCAAUAGAAACACUGUUGUAGUCAGAAAUUUACAUACCCUCAUCAUGGGCGUCAAUAUUUUUCUGUGUGACAACAAAGAUGUCUUAAAUAUCUGUGUUCACUGCCAUUUGGUCCAGUUUAUGGUCUCCAUUCAACCAUUCGUUUACGUGUUUUAGGCUUUAUAGUCUGCAUGUGAGCAUUUACAGGAGCAAAUGCAAACUGGUUCCCACAGAAUUUCUAAGGAGAGUACAUGGUCCCCCGCAUGGGAAUUGUUUUCUGUUUCAUUAUAAUGUGGAUUAAAGAGUUUAAAAGAAGUAAACACAGUGAAAUUAAGCUUAAACACAUUUAUUUUUCAAUUGGGUAAUCUGUAGCAGGGUUAGGUCAGCUGAUUUGUUUCCAGUAUUCAACAAUACUCUGUUCACAUUUCCCAUAUUUGAUGAAACAGUUUUUAAAAAUCUUUUUCUUUUAAAAUUAUUUUGUGCGCACUUGUUUAUACAGUACUGCGUCAUACUUUUCUCUAAGCAUCCUGUAAUCCUGCCAAGUAAAAUCUGAUUAUCCACCACAAAGACGAAGAAAACAAGAACAGUGCAUCAUUGCAGCAACCUGUAAAGUCUUGCCCAUCCUUGGCAGUGAAGACUCA